GCAAAACUAUACCCGUGAAACUGCGAAAUGGCUCAUUAAAUCAGUUAUCGUUUAUUUGAUAGUACCUACUUACUUGGAUAACCGUGGUAAUUCUAGAGCUAAUACAUGCUAAAAACCUCGACUUCGGAAGGGGUGUAUUUAUUAGAUAAAAAACCAAUGCCCUUCGGGGCUCCCUGGUGAUUCAUAAUAACUAAACGAAUCGCAUGGCCUUGCGCCGGCGAUGGUUCAUUCAAAUUUCUGCCCUAUCAACUUUCGAUGGUAGGAUAGUGGCCUACCAUGGUGGCAACGGGUAACGGGGAAUUAGGGUUCUAUUCCGGAGAGGGAGCCUGAGAAACGGCUACCACAUCCAAGGAAGGCAGCAGGCGCGCAAAUUACCCAAUCCCGACACGGGGAGGUAGUGACAAUAAAUACUGAUGUGGAGCUCUUUAGGGUUUCACAAUUGGAAUGAGAAAAAUCUAAACCACUUAAACGAGGAACAAUUGGAGGGCAAGUCUGGUGCCAGCAGCCGCGGUAAUUCCAGCUCCAAUAGCGUAUAUUAAAGUUGUUGCAGUUAAAAAGCUCGUAGUUGAACCUUGGGCCUGGCCGGCCGGUCCGCCUCACCGCGUGCACUGGUUCGGCCGGGCCUUUCCUCCUGGGGAACCGCAUGCCCUUCACUGGGUGUGCCGGGGAAUCAGGACUUUUACUUUGAAAAAAUUAGAGUGUUCAAAGCAGGCAUUUGCUCGAAUACAUUAGCAUGGAAUAAUAGAAUAGGACGUUGUGGUUCUAUUUUGUUGGUUUCUAGGACCGCCGUAAUGAUUAAWWAGGGACG
RNAcentral lists this ribosomal RNA (808 nucleotides) under Placopsis sp. Muggia NZ8. RNAcentral describes it as "SSU rRNA". It matches the Rfam family "Eukaryotic small subunit ribosomal RNA", at positions 65 to 892 of the family's 1831-position model. The record is from RNAcentral. Lineage: Eukaryota; Fungi; Ascomycota; Lecanoromycetes; Trapeliales; Trapeliaceae.